Molecule: long non-coding RNA, 1778 nt
Organism: Ictalurus furcatus (blue catfish)
Lineage: Eukaryota; Metazoa; Chordata; Actinopteri; Siluriformes; Ictaluridae
Exons: 3
Source: RefSeq, a predicted model, not a curated record
UGUUCUUUCUACUCCAGUAAUACACGAGACGUUUUCAUUUGACAUGCAGGAUGGAUCUUUUUCUCAGUGAUCUGGUUUUCUGUUUGUUUCGAACUCGUGAAAAAAGCAGGUCAAUUGGCAUGUGCAGCCUAGAAUAUGUGAAUAUGGUUACUAAGCAACCACACCACACUGAUGAUAGCAAAGACUUUAAGUGAUGGUGGUAACUAGGCUUCUGUUAUAUAUGUCAGAUCAUUAUACUGCUCACACUACACAAAGCCUAAUUAAAUGACCUGACAUCAGAAAUGAAUUGUGACCUCUGACAGCCGGGUGGAUUUAUCAGGUGUUGCUUGCUCUACCACACUACGGUUGUGUAAACACUAGAAAUGUGACUAGAAAGUCACAUUUGGAUAGACUGUACUCCUUUUAGAAAUAAAUGUCAUAAAGUUUUUAAUUGCCCUGUAAUUUGCCAGUUUACAAUGAUCUUAAUUUUUUUUUUUUGCCAUCUAUUUGAUAUUUUUCUUUUUCUAUUUCUAUGUAAGUAAAUUCUAUUUUAUGUCACCGGACAGUUGUAAAAAAAUAUUUCACUGCAUGUCGUACUGUGUAUGGUGGUUGUGUGACCAAUAAAAUUUUUAACUUGAUUUGAUUUGAUCACCAGGAGAUGUUCCGUGGUUGAGCGGUGGUACCUGGCUGACGACCCUGCAACUGACCUAUGCCAUAUGGAACCAGUGACACCAAGCAUGCAUUAAUGGUGCCAAUGGGGCUCGUCACAGACUUGGUCACUCGGAGGUCAAAUCCUCCGUUUGCAAAACGAUCAGCCAGUCUUCUCUUGGUUUUCCUGAGGUGCAGCUGAUUCCUGUGGGAAAGAACAUGAACAACCCUUGCAGUGAUGCGUGAGGAGUGAUAAGAAACAAAAACAACUCUUUAGGGCCUGCGAUUUUAAAAGUGGAACAUCUUGAAUGGCCUCAUUCUGAACUCAGCACAUGUCUCAUCCUGAUCUGAAGGACGCCUCUGUUAGCAUACUGGGGACUUCAGCUGCUGCCUGACAGAAAAACUGGCCAAGUGCUUCCUGUUUUGGGCUCCAGAUAAUGACUCCCUUAUUGGCUGCACCAAUAGCCACUCUGUUUUAUACCGCGCCACCCCCAUCCCCAUACUUUGUGGUCUUCCAUGUUCUAAAACACAUGAUCUAACUAAACAGCUCAUUAGCAAGUCUUUCGUGACUCAGUGUGAUGAGUCUCACACUCUCACAUACACAAAUGUGCAUGCCAGCAGAAUUAUGUAUGAUCUUCAGCUCCAAAAAUGCAAAUACAAUUCUGAGCACAACAGUGUGUGUGUGUGUGUGUGUGUGUGUGUGUGUGUGUGUGCGCACUCAGAAGAUGCAAAACUAUUCUCAGUGAGCUUGUAGGAGGCUGAAAGAGAUGAUUAAUUGAAACUGGCAACUUAGAGUGAAACUGCUACAGAGAGGCAGUGUGAAAUGAUCGGUACAUCGUACAUUCGACUUUCUGUUUCUGUGCACUAACAUCUACUUAUCAUUAUUUAGCUUUUUCAUGCAAACUGCAAAGAGCCAGUACAUAGCUACAAUACACUGUACACUGGCUACAUUAAACUGAAACACACACACACACACACACACACACACACACAUAAUAUAAUAUUAAUGCAGAUAAUUAAUGCUAUGCUACACCUUAACCUAACUUUAUCCUUAAUCUCAGUAAAUAAUAUGAAACCUUUUGGCUCUUUUAGUUUAGUUUUGUUGUUUUUUUUCUUCAUUUAGCUUCAGUUAAAAAAAGGUUUUCCUUGUG